UUAUCUUUUUCAUUCAUUGUUUUAUCUUCAGUGCCUAGAAGAGUGCUGGAUACAUUGUAGGUGCUCAAUAACUAUUUCUUGAAGAUUGAAUGUUUAUUUAAAUAAAGGGAUGAAGUCAAUCAACUUCCAAGAGGAACUAGGACCCCAACCAACUACUAUGCGUUGCUCUCAGAUGGUGUGUAAGGCCACCCUUGCUGAUGAGGCUGCACGCGUAAUGAGCUGAGCUGCUGCCUUCAGAAGAAGCCAGAGAAAAGAACCCCAAGACAUGAGACUAUCCAGGCUACAGCAACUCCAGCAGUCUCCUUACCUGGCAGAAAGGAGCACACUCUGCUACAAUGACAUGGAAUUUCCUCUUUCGGGCAGCCUCUUUGAGGAAGGCCUCUACUGUUCGGGAGAAGCCAAUGGUCAUGAUCACCUCAUUGGAGUGAAUGUGCUCCAGAGCCUGGGCUGCAAUGUUCUCCAUUGUCCCUUCUGUAAGAACGGUUUUGC
RNAcentral lists this long non-coding RNA (489 nucleotides) under Homo sapiens (human). Its description in RNAcentral is "novel transcript, antisense to EIF2B2". The record is from RNAcentral. Lineage: Eukaryota; Metazoa; Chordata; Mammalia; Primates; Hominidae.